CCCUCACAAUCAAUCGGAAGAGUGAAUGUCAAGCACACAAAACGUCCAAUUUCAUUCAAUCACGACUGAAGAGCCUGCAUAACCCCCAUUAAAUCGUUCUCUCAAAUCCCCCUUGCAGGUCCAAAUCCCCCUUGCAGGUCCAGGUUUCCGCGACAGUGACUACGCGCAGGUUCCCCACCUCACUAAGCCCCUUUAUUGAAGUUAAAAAAUUUCAAAGAUCCCAAUCAAAGAAAAUCAACAACCCCUUCAAAGAUCCCACUCAGAUUAUUGUUUAUCAUCAAUUGGCAUCUGGGUGUGUCAAGAAUUUCUUGCAUAAGUGGUUGUUGUAUCAAAGAUUCUACCUUCUCACCAACACAAACAACGAUAAUUCCUUUAAGCUUUCAUCAAUGGCGCUUCAAGAUCUGCUGAUGUCAUACAAACAAGAAAGAGGUUGAGCUAGAUAGAUACUGAUUCCUAAUGGCAGCAGUUUUACGCAACGGUCGUGUACAUGCCUGGACCAAGUUUUUGGAUGUUCGGAAUUCAUUUGCUCAAUUUUAAGUCGAAACAUUGAUAACCAAGGUGUUCCAGGGAGUCCGGCCAGUGGGAGUCAUGAAAGCGGUUGUGAACACUCGAAUUCCAACAUCGGAGAGCAGGAUAGGAGCUAACAUAA
Helianthus annuus (common sunflower) is the source of this 649-nucleotide long non-coding RNA. RefSeq lists it as uncharacterized. The transcript is spliced from 3 exons. NCBI's taxonomy places the organism in Eukaryota, Viridiplantae, Streptophyta, Magnoliopsida, Asterales, Asteraceae. The record is from RefSeq and is a predicted model, not a curated record.